RNAcentral lists this ribosomal RNA (440 nucleotides) under uncultured bacterium. RNAcentral describes it as "partial 16S ribosomal RNA". It matches the Rfam family "Bacterial small subunit ribosomal RNA", at positions 338 to 795 of the family's 1533-position model. The record is from RNAcentral.
CCUACGGGAGGCAGCAGUGGGGAAUAUUGGACAAUGGGGGGAACCCUGAUCCAGCGACGCCGCGUGAGUGAAGAAGUACUUCGGUAUGUAAAGCUCUAUCAGCAGGGAAGAAAAUGACGGUACCUGACUAAGAAGCCCCGGCUAACCACGUGCCAGCAGCCGCGGGAAUACGUAGGGGGCAAGCGUUAUCCGGAUUUACUGGGUGUAAAGGGAGCGUAGACGGUGCAGCAAGUCUGGUGUGAAAGGUCGGGGCCCAACCCCGGGACUGCACUGGAAACUGUUGGGCUGGAGUGCAGGAGAGGUAAGCGGAAUUCCUGGUGUAGCGGUGAAAUGCGUAGAUAUUAGGAGGAACACCAGUGGCGAAGGCGGCUUACUGGACUGUAACUGACGUUGAGGCUCGAAAGCGUGGGGAGCGAACAGGAUUAGAUACCCUAGUAGUC